Dermacentor silvarum is the source of this 448-nucleotide long non-coding RNA. RefSeq lists it as uncharacterized. The transcript is spliced from 3 exons. Lineage: Eukaryota; Metazoa; Arthropoda; Arachnida; Ixodida; Ixodidae. The record is from RefSeq and is a predicted model, not a curated record.
CCUCAUCUCGCUCCCAGUCUCCCGCCUCCUUAAGCCUUCUUAACGUGUACCCCACGUCCCGACAACUGCCAGCCAUGACCGCCGAUGUAGUACGCGGCGGCACCGGGAUCGACAGUGAACCUUCUCGGCAACCUCGCCGUCCGACAAGACAUCUUCAUCGAUUCCGUUUGUACCGCGUUAAAAGGUGGCCAAGAACAAGUCCUACGUGUCCAGCCACCUGCCCAUUGACGACGACCCUUUAGAUAAACCUGACGGCCAAGCCUUGGAACAACUCUGAGGAACUUUUCUGCGAUCGCGUCAGGCAAGCACAAGGCACCGUGAAAGGAGCCCUGCACCAAGCAAGCGUCGGAUUCAGGGGCAGCAAAUACCGCCUGAUAAAUAGCAGCUUCAUCACAACUGCUAGACCUAUGUCCACUUUAAACCAUCCUGACUGAAUAUGUCUCCAUCA